GAUGAAGAACGCAGUGAAAUGCGAUAAGUAAUGUGAAUUGCAGAAUUCAGUGAAUCAUCGAAUCUUUGAACGCACAUUGCGCCCGCCAGUAUUCUGGCGGGCAUGCCUGUUCGAGCGUCAUUUCAACCCUCAAGCCCAGCUUGGUGUUGGGGAUCGGCACAGGCGCCCUCGGGCGCCAGCCGUCCCCUAAAUCUAGUGGCGGUCCCGCUGCAGCCUCCUCUGCGUAGUAGUUUUCUCCUCGCAAGGGCAGCUCGGUGGCGACCUCGCCGUAAAACCCCCAACUUCUGAAAGGUUGACCUCGAAUCAGGUAGGAAUACCCGCUGAACUUAAGCAUAUCAAUAAGCGGAGGA
This 350-nucleotide unclassified non-coding RNA is filed under the name soil metagenome. RNAcentral describes it as "partial contains 5.8S ribosomal RNA, internal transcribed spacer 2, and large subunit ribosomal RNA". The stretch from base 1 to 120 matches the Rfam family "5.8S ribosomal RNA", at positions 35 to 154 of the family's 154-position model. The record is from RNAcentral.